AUUUUUGUAGUUGAAUUUACAACGGUGGUUUUUCAGGCCGCAGGUCUCGGUGGAGCAAAAAUU
RNAcentral lists this transfer RNA (63 nucleotides) under Opisthotropis guangxiensis. Its description in RNAcentral is "tRNA-Glu". The record is from RNAcentral. Lineage: Eukaryota; Metazoa; Chordata; Lepidosauria; Squamata; Natricidae.